This 489-nucleotide ribosomal RNA is filed under the name uncultured bacterium. Its description in RNAcentral is "partial 16S ribosomal RNA". It matches the Rfam family "Bacterial small subunit ribosomal RNA", at positions 355 to 853 of the family's 1533-position model. The record is from RNAcentral.
UGGGGAAUAUUGCACAAUGGGCGCAAGCCUGAUGCAGCAACGCCGCGUGAGGGACGACGGCCUUCGGGUUGUAAACCUCUUUUAGUAGGGAAGAAGCGAAAGUGACGGUACCUGCAGAAAAAGCACCGGCUAACUACGUGCCAGCAGCCGCGGUAAUACGUAGGGUGCGAGCGUUGUCCGGAAUUAUUGGGCGUAAAGAGCUCGUAGGCGGUCUGUCGCGUCUGCUGUGAAAACCCGAGGCUCAACCUCGGGCCUGCAGUGGGUACGGGCAGACUAGAGUGCGGUAGGGGAGAAUGGAAUUCCUGGUGUAGCGGUGGAAUGCGCAGAUAUCAGGAGGAACACCGAUGGCGAAGGCAGUUCUCUGGGCCGUAACUGACGCUGAGGAGCGAAAGCGUGGGGAGCGAACAGGAUUAGAUACCCUGGUAGUCCACGCCGUAAACGUUGGGCGCUAGAUGUGGGGCACCAUUCCACGGUUUCCGUGUCGCAGCU